CAACCUGCUGCGGGGCAAUAAAGUGAAUAUGUGUAUCCAGGCCGCCGGCGGUGACGAUCAGUCCUUCCGCGGCAAGCGCUUCGGUGGAAGCCCCCACAGUCAUGCCCGGGGUUACGCCGUCCAUGACGGAGGGAUUUCCGGCUUUUCCGAUGCCGGCGAUUUUUCCGUCCUUGAUGCCGAUAUCUGCUUUAUAGAUUCCGGUAUAGUCGACGAUCAGGGCAUUGGUGAUGACAAGAUCCAGAUCCCCGUCGGCGCUGCAGGUUUUUACUGACUGGCCCAUGCCGUCGCGC
RNAcentral lists this small RNA (290 nucleotides) under uncultured Fusicatenibacter sp. Its description in RNAcentral is "5' ureB small RNA". It matches the Rfam family "5' ureB small RNA". The record is from RNAcentral. Lineage: Bacteria; Bacillati; Bacillota; Clostridia; Lachnospirales; Lachnospiraceae.